UACGGAGGAUGCAAGCGUUAUCCGGACUUAUUGGGUUUAAAGGGUGCGUAGGCGGGCUUUUAAGCGUGAGGUGAAAUGCCUGGGCUCAACCUGGGAACUGCCUCGCGAACUGGAGGCCUUGAAUGUCCGUGCCGUGGGAGGAAUGUGUGGUGUAGCGGUGAAAUGCAUAGAGAUCACACAGAACACCGAUUGCGAAGGCAUCUCACGAACGGAUGAUUGACGCUGAGGCACGGAAGCGUGGGGAUCAAAC
RNAcentral lists this ribosomal RNA (250 nucleotides) under uncultured prokaryote. Its description in RNAcentral is "partial 16S ribosomal RNA". It matches the Rfam family "Bacterial small subunit ribosomal RNA", at positions 524 to 773 of the family's 1533-position model. The record is from RNAcentral.